UGUUGUGCUGCUGCCGGGCGGGCCAGCCUGUAGCUCAGGCGUUGGCGGGAGCCUCGUGCUCCGCGGGGCUUCUUGGUGAGGGUGGGCAGCGGGGGCACCGUCCUGUAGGCAGGGCUGCGCGUGCCCCCCGCGUGUGCUUGCUUGGUGAGGUGCGUUGUGAGAGACCCCCUGUACUCAGGCGGGAAUGUGGCCCCGGCCUUUCAGAGGCACGGGGCCGCGAGGCGUGGGCUUGGGCUUGCGCCCUCCCCGCAAUCAGGGCUGGGGUCCCGACCGCGGCAUUUGGCCGUGCCGCCCCGCUGCCUGGCAGCUGAGAGUCGCUCCCGCCGCUGGGGGGGAAACCGAGCUCUGUGGCUCCAGGGGUGUCGUCCACCCGCCUGUAAUCAGGGUCUGGGUGCGCGAGCGCUUGUGCUCAGCUGGCAGCCUGUGUGGGGUGACCGCCCCGCUAGCGGGGUGCGGGUCCAGGUGCCCCCGGACUGGGAGAGAAGGAGCCUCCCGCGGCCGCUAGGGAUGGGGGCUGCCCUGUAAGCCAGGGAGCGACAGUGCCCCGCAGUCCCAGGCCCUUUGCAAUGGAGGCAGUGGCCGGGGGUCCCCUGUAAGCAGGGAAGCUGACUCUUUGGCCGCUGCUGUGUGUGUGCCCAGCUCCAUUUGCCCAGUCUGCCCGCCUCUGUGAUCCCCCGCAGCACCGGCUGGAAGCGCGCCGUGCGUCAGCGAGGAGCCGCUGCGGAAGAGAGGAGGAGAAGCGGCGUGGGAACGCGGGAGGCAGGAGCGAGCGCGCAAGCAAGCGAGCGAGCGAGCAAGCAAGCAAGAAGAGGAUGCGGAAGCGUGCAGACGCGGGGGGGAAGGAGAGAGGCUCCCUGGGCAAAGCAGCCGUCCCGUUAGCGGGGCCGCAGUCACAUUUAGUCCCAUUUGAGUUUGAGCGUUGCCGGCGCCUUGGCCGGCUUUGUGCUGGGCGACCUCCCUGUAAGCAGGGCUCGGGUCUUUGCUUUUGCUGUAGUUGGCCUUUUGCCUUGCUGCUCCUUUGGCUGCCUGGGGAGCGUGGGCCCCUGUAACGCAGGGCGAGAGCCACCUCUCCGCACCUGAGUGGGAAAUGGAGCUCGCCGGACCCCGAGGCCACCCUGUAAGCAGGGUAGUGCCGUUUCCCCGGCCCUCUUCCUCCUCCGGCCCCUCGGCAUCAUCGUUGCCUGGAGGUGGCCUGUCAAUGCGACGGCCCCGUACUCGGGGUGUGCGUCACGGCAUCUGGCCUUUGGCUUUAGCUGGGAAGCCCCUUGGCACGUUGAGGUCUGUGGCCUCCGUGCAGGCUAGGGACAGGUCACAGGCUCUUGUCUGUUGCCCGCGGUUGUGGGUUUAUUCCCAGGGUUUGGCUGCGCUGGGUUGUCCUUCCCUUUGGGAAAGUCGCCUCUGUGUGUGCGUGUUGCCCUUCCUUUCCUUGUUUGUGUUUGUGGAGUGACGGAGCGACUGAGCUUUCCCUUUAGGCCCCCACAAAGAUGGCUGCAGCUUAGCUUCGACUUCCCUGGGGGGAACGGAGGACUGUGGUGCACGCCGCAAAAGGGGUGUUCCCUCUCAGUCCCGCGAGCGCAGCGA
Molecule: long non-coding RNA, 1581 nt
Organism: Tympanuchus pallidicinctus (lesser prairie-chicken)
Lineage: Eukaryota; Metazoa; Chordata; Aves; Galliformes; Phasianidae
Exons: 2
Source: RefSeq, a predicted model, not a curated record